This 253-nucleotide ribosomal RNA is filed under the name uncultured bacterium. Its description in RNAcentral is "partial 16S ribosomal RNA". It matches the Rfam family "Bacterial small subunit ribosomal RNA", at positions 524 to 776 of the family's 1533-position model. The record is from RNAcentral.
UACGGGGGGUGCAAGCGUUGUUCGGAAUUACUGGGCGUAAAGGGCUCGUAGGCGGCCCACUAAGUCGGACGUGAAAUCCCCAGGCUCAACCUGGGAACUGCGUCCGAUACUGGAUGGCUUGAAUUCGGGAGAGGGAUGCAGAAUUCCAGGUGUAGCGGUGAAAUGCGUAGAUAUCUGGAGGAAUACCGGUGGCUAAGGCGGCAUCCUGGACCGACAUUGACGCUGAGGAGCGAAAGCUAGGGGAGCAAACGGG